This 433-nucleotide ribosomal RNA is filed under the name uncultured bacterium. RNAcentral's name for it is "partial 16S ribosomal RNA". It matches the Rfam family "Bacterial small subunit ribosomal RNA", at positions 29 to 507 of the family's 1533-position model. The record is from RNAcentral.
AACGAACGCUGGCGGCAUGCCUAACACAUGCAAGUCGAACGAACCCUUCGGGGUUAGUGGCGCACGGGUGCGUAACGCGUGGGAAUCUGCCCUUUGCUUCGGAAUAACUCAGGGAAACUUGUGCUAAUACCGGAUGAUGUCUUCGGACCAAAGAUUUAUCGGCAAGGGAUGAGCCCGCGUAGGAUUAGGUAGUUGGUGGGGUAAAGGCCUACCAAGCCGACGAUCCUUAGCUGGUCUGAGAGGAUGAUCAGCCACACUGGGACUGAGACACGGCCCAGACUCCUACGGGAGGCGGCAGUGGGGAAUAUUGGACAAUGGGCGCAAGCCUGAUCCAGCAAUGCCGCGUGAGUGAUGAAGGCCCUCGGGUCGUAAAGCUCUUUUAACAGGGAUGAUAAUGACAGUACCUGGAGAAUAAGCGCCGGCUAACUCCGUG